GUGCCAGCCGCCGCGGUAACACCGGCAGCCCGAGUGAUGGCCGAUUUUAUUGGGCCUAAAGCGUCCGUAGCUGGCCGCGUAGGUCCGUCGGGAAAUCUACUGGCCUAACCAGUAGGCGUCCGGCGGAAACCUCGUGGCUUGGGACCGGGAGACCUGAGGGGUACGUCCGGGGUAGGAGUGAAAUCCCGUAAUCUCGGACGGACCACCGGUGGCGAAAGCGCCUCAGGAGAACGGAUCCGACAGUGAGGGACGAAAGCUAGGGUCUCGAACCGGAUUAGAAACCCGUGUAGUCC
Molecule: ribosomal RNA, 293 nt
Filed under: uncultured bacterium
Lineage: Bacteria
Description: partial 16S ribosomal RNA
Rfam family: Archaeal small subunit ribosomal RNA
Source: RNAcentral